Long non-coding RNA from Arachis ipaensis, 1066 nucleotides. RefSeq lists it as uncharacterized. NCBI's taxonomy places the organism in Eukaryota, Viridiplantae, Streptophyta, Magnoliopsida, Fabales, Fabaceae. The record is from RefSeq and is a predicted model, not a curated record.
CCCUCUCUCUCGGCUCUCACCUUGAAUGUUCUCCCUUUCCUUCUGAACCCUCACUAUCCGACGUAACCCCUUUCUUUCACUCUUCAUCCUCUCUCCCUCUCCACCGUAAUCGCAGCCGCAGUCUGUGAUCUGUCACUCUCUCAACCCCCACUCUCCCAAACCCUCACUCAUCUGUGCCUCUCACUCUCUCAACCUCUCACUCUGUCAACCCCUCACUGUCGCAUCCCUCACCUCUAUUGCGUUCAGAUACCUACAAAAAAAGGAGCCCUCAAUGCUGAACCCAGUUACUCAUUCCAAAUUUCCGGUUUCCUUUAAAGAUUAUGGCUGCUGCUGUAACUGCGAGAACUGUUCGUGUUGUCAUUGUUGUUUUUGAUGGACCCAGUAGCUUUAUUGCUUAACUAGGAAUACUCGUUGUGAAUGUUGAAACGUGUAGUUGUGUUGUGGCUUAUCUCAAGUGAUAGCUUCUUUAACUCCGUUGCUAACACUGGCAUCCGGCAGUAAAACACCCCUACAAGUAUUAUGAGUAGAAAAUUAGCAUUGUCUAAUAUUCUGCUGUAACAGAAAUUGGUACAGGAAAAUAGUUCUACACUUUGUAAUAAGGGUGGAGAUGGAUUUCAAGUGGAGAAGAGAAAGGUGAAGACCAAGUUGACAGCAAGCGUUAAUUUUUUAGCUGCACUGGUAAUGGAGCUUGAUAAGAUGGGCUAAGUGCAUGCAAUAUUUAACCGUUGAAUGAUGCGCUACAGUAAAGCAAAUAAGCAUUUUUUGUUUAACAAGUUGAAGGCUAACAAGUUUGGUACCGCAUAUAAUUUAGAAUUUUUUUUCAACAAUUAUUAUUUAGGUUUGUCGCUUGUGUUAUAGGUAGGUUUAUAUCAAUUGGACUUUGUUUUUUAAAAAAAAGGGACAUGUAUGUAUAAGUUUUGGCUAAGAUUUUCUUGUUAUGUGGCUCAUCAAAACCCUAGCAAAUACUCCUUGCUGUUUAGUAGUUGAAAUUUUUAAGUUAACUGACUUAUUAAAGUUUGCUACAUAUGUAUUGCAUUAUCAUAAGCAAUUUUUCUCUGUUUUAACA